UGUGAGAUAAAAAAGUAAUAACGCUGCCCUCCAUUAUUUAUUAGCAGCCUUUAUUUCUCCCAGCAAAAUAAUUCCCUUCCUCCCCGGGUCGGUCGGGAGCGCAGCGCGAUGCCGUCACCCCGUCCCUCAGGACGUGGGCAUGGUUUGGAGCAGACGGGGUACUGCGGUGUCCCGGCCGAGUGCCACCAGGGGUGUUUGUGUUGUGUGGGACCCGUGUGGUGUCCCUGUCCCCGUGUGGUGUCCCCGUCCCUGUGUGGUGUCCCUGUCCCCGUGUGCAGCUCUGCUCUGCAUGGCCCUGGGGACACGGCUCCGGCAGUCCCGCGCUGCCCAGGGUUAGUGUUGGCUGUAUUGACUGCAUUUGUGACAGCUGGGGCUCAAUAUUGAAAUUACUCAGAGCUCCAGAUAGCCAGGCUGAAUCAAUCCGUUUGUUAGUGGGAGCCAAAGGCAGCACGACAGCGAAGGAAUAUUGCAUCCUCAGAGGGAGGCCGCGGCAGGGAGGGAUCGGCCCCAUGACCACGUUUACAGCCAUCUUUGUGAUUUUGCCUGCCAUCGUGUCUUUGCUUUAGCCCUGAGGUCCCAAACUCGGCAGGUCCAUGACCUCCCCUUCUCCUGAGGCAGCUCUCGGGAGCAGACCUCGUCCCCUGGCCGGGCAGCACGGCUUAGCCCAAGCAGAAGGGAGGCGGCGGUGCUGUCGCUCACAGACACGUUGUUUCCAAGACCCAGCUGUGGAUGUGAGGAUCAGCAACGAAAACCCGUCACCAGACCAUGUGCAGGUGUGGCACUCAGGUGUCUGGCACUGCGGGGUUCCCAGCAGGGAGAGGCUCUGUCUAACACGGGAACGCUGUCCUUGCUGUCCUCGCUCCCCGCAGCGGGGAAUCACCGCCGCUCCCAGCCCCAGGCACCUCUCUGCUGGAAGGCAUCGGGCGGACCGGGUGGCAUUGCCAUGGCAAUCAUCACCUGGGAAACCGAGAGGUGUGGAGCUGACAAAACGGAGGUGUUCGCUCGCUUUUCUUUGGGAAGCAGGUUGGCUCGGACCUGGCAUCCAGAUGGGCUCUGAUGGGCCCUCAGAUGGGCUCUGUCCAGGAGGAAGGGACCCAGAAAGGAGAAGGCUGAGCCAUCUGGAGGGAGAGUCACUCCUCGCCGCGCAACGCACCGAGGUGGAGGAGGGAGCGGGGCUUCUGCCGGUGGGUUGUGGAGGAGCUGGCACGGAGGGGGCUGGAGGCAGAGCGUGGGGAUGCUCAGGGGCCAGGAUGGGAGCUGAGAGCCCCAGGGCUGCCCAGGAAGAGCCUGGUGUGGAGAGGCUGGGGUUCAGAGUGCUCCAGUGGGGUCAGGAGGUCACAGAAUUGGCUUCAAAGGGACUUUAAAGAUCACCUGGUGUGAACCCUCUGGCACAGGCAGGGAUGCCACCCACUAGGUCAGGUUGCCCAGGGCCUCAUCCAACCUGGCCUUGAGCACCUCCAGGGAUGGGGCAUCCACAGCCCCUCUGGGCAGCCUGUGCCAGGGCCUCACCACCCUCUGAGUGAGGAAUUUCCUCCUGACCUCUCAUCUCCCCCUUUUUAGUUUUAAACCAUUCCCCUUUGUCCUGCAUGUGCCUUGACACUGCCUCCAGGAGGAUCUGUUCCAUGAUCCUCACAGGCACAGAGCUGAGGCUCACUGCUCUGUAGUUCCCCGGCUCCUCCUUUCUGCUCUUUUUAAAAAUCAGAGUGAUGUUUCCCUUUUUCCAGUCACCAGGGACUUCACCUGGCUGCCAGGGCUUUUCAAAUAGGAUGGAGAGAGGUCAGCAGCCGGUUCCCUCAGUGCCCUGGGCUGCAUGGCAUCAGGCCCCAUGGACCCAGACCUGUUCAGCCCCAGCCUGCUCCUUGCUUACAGUGGGUGGCACUGAGGGUUCAGGUCCACUCCAGAUGCCCAGAGAAUCUCUCGUGUCGGGUGAGAAGAGCUGGAUCAGACCUGAAGUCCAUCUGAUACAUCCACAGUCCCCAGGAACGGGCUUCAGCCUGCCAAAGGGAGCCCCCUCCUUGCACCUCCCUGCCUCGGGGCAGUCCCUGUAAGUCUGCUCUUAUCCUACAGGGCCUUCAUCCACCUCUAAGUGCUUUCUGCAGAGUCUCAUCGCUCAUGGCACUGUGUCUGGUGGCCAUUAUCUGCCACCUUUGCUAUUCUGUUGACUUUCUGGGCUGCUGAGAUUGGAAAGUUCAUCCCCUUUCAGCUCCAGGCGCAGCAUCCAGCCAGGUGGUGAGCCCAGAUUAUCCUUUACUAAGCGCACGCGGUGCCUUGGGGCUGCAGCAGAACCCACCAGGGUCUGGAUAGAGAUGCUUUCUGGGCACUUCCAUAGCUCUUAAAGCUUUCUGGGUUAUUCCCAGAAAAUAAAAGUUCCCAUUCCUGUGUCA
RNAcentral lists this long non-coding RNA (2384 nucleotides) under Anas platyrhynchos platyrhynchos (common mallard). RNAcentral describes it as "lncRNA (ENSAPLG00000027888.1)". The record is from RNAcentral. Lineage: Eukaryota; Metazoa; Chordata; Aves; Anseriformes; Anatidae.